Molecule: non-coding RNA, 787 nt
Organism: Danio rerio (zebrafish)
Lineage: Eukaryota; Metazoa; Chordata; Actinopteri; Cypriniformes; Danionidae
Source: Ensembl
UUUCGACUUGGUUCAGAGGAGCACGCGGAUUGCACCCCUGUUCCAGUAUGGCUGCUAUCAUCCCCAUUUUGAUCGUCACUGUAGUGUCAAAUGUUUCUGGAAUGCUCGCUAUACCAUUGUGGGGACAUGACAAACUCUGUUGCACAACUCUGGCAGCUGAGGACGAUUUGAGCUUGUGGGAGUGACAAACUGUGCGACCCUGAUAUAGCCACCUGAUGGCUGUGAGCUCCCUUCAGGAAAGAUGCAGAAUGAAUCUUUCCAGUAGAGGAGUCUGAACGUAGUGUUUACACACACCGUAAAGAGAUUGAGGUAAAUAUUUCUUUUUUUUUGUUGCACUUUACAUAAGAAGCGAGACUAGAGUCACAUCCUGACGUUGCUCGUUGUCUUGGUGUGCUAUAGUACUCGCAGAAUAACCUCUCUGCUUAUUCAUUGGCUGCUGCUUUCCAUUGCCCAGCCAAUCACCAGCUCUGAAACAUGCUAGAUUUAUGUAACCCUUCAUGUACAAACCUUUUCAGAUUUGAUGCAGUUGGUUGAACCGCCAUAAAGUUUUGAGUUAAAGUUUUGUUUUUAUUCAUAUUUGACUUUUUUGCAUGUUUAGACCUGUCACAUGAUUCUUCAGAAAUUUUAAUUUUCUGCAAUAAAAAAACUGACUAUUUUAAUACUUUUUUUUUUUUUUUUUGCAAUCAAAAUGGUUGAGGUCAUUAUAAAAUAAUCAAAUUUUAAGGUCUAGUAGUGUCUGCACUCCAUUCAAAAACAACCUCAAAUAUAUUGUCAGACAUUCUGUGAA